GGCAAUGAGAGAUCACCUGUCCAUAUGGUGAACAAGGUCACUCCUAUUUACAGUUGUAAAGGCUCAAACUGACUGAGUGCCUCCGAUAAUCAGAUGUUUCCAAGACAUCUAUGAACUGUCAAAGGAAAGUGCAUCUCAGCAAUAAGGACGACUGGAUAUAGGCCAGGCCAGAGGUGGUCUAGCUCCUGUAUUCUUGGAGGCUCUCUCCGAUCCAGACAUUCAAGUCUAUUAACUACUGAACAGUUCAUGGAUGGCUAAAGACUAUCUAGCCAGAUAUACCAGACAGCCAGUUUGGUCUAGUGGAGACUGCAAGUUCAAGUCCUGCCUUAGCCGUGGAAGCCGGCCAAGUGACUUUGGACCCAGUCACUCUCUCACAGCCAAACCCAUUUCACAGGGUUGUUGUGUGGAAAAUGGGAAGAGGAAGGUGUUAAGAUAUAUUCAUUACCUUACUUGUAAAAAUAAUGAUGGGAUAUGAAUAAAUAUCA
Molecule: long non-coding RNA, 485 nt
Organism: Ahaetulla prasina
Lineage: Eukaryota; Metazoa; Chordata; Lepidosauria; Squamata; Colubridae
Exons: 3
Source: RefSeq, a predicted model, not a curated record